GACGAACGCUGGCGGCGUGCUUAACACAUGCAAGUCGAACGGAAAGGCCCUGCUUUUGUGCGGUGCUCGAGUGGCGAACUGGGGAGUAACACGUGAGUAACCUGCCCUUGACUUUGGGAUAACUUCAUGCAACUUGGUCUAAUACCGGAUAGGAGCUCCUGCUGCUUGGUGGGGGUUGGAAAGUUUCGGCGGUUGGGGAUGGACUCGCGGCUUAUCAGCUUGUUGGUCGGGUAGUGGAUUACCAAGGCUUUGACGGGUAGCCGGCCUGCGAGGGUGACCGGCCACAUUGGGACUGGGAUACGGCACAGACCAGUACGGGAGGCAGCAGUGGAGAAUAUAGCACAAUGGGAGGAAGCCUGAUGCAGCAAAGCAGCGUGCGGGAUGACGGCAUUCGGGUUGUAAACCGCUUUCGCCUGUGACGAAGCGUGAGUGACGGUAAUGGGUAAAGAAGCACCGGCUAACUACGUG
This 468-nucleotide ribosomal RNA is filed under the name uncultured bacterium. RNAcentral's name for it is "partial 16S ribosomal RNA". It matches the Rfam family "Bacterial small subunit ribosomal RNA", at positions 28 to 507 of the family's 1533-position model. The record is from RNAcentral.